RNAcentral lists this ribosomal RNA (748 nucleotides) under uncultured bacterium. Its description in RNAcentral is "bacterial SSU rRNA". It matches the Rfam family "Bacterial small subunit ribosomal RNA", at positions 653 to 1397 of the family's 1533-position model. The record is from RNAcentral.
AGGGGAGAAUGGAAUUCCUGGUGGAGCGGUGGAAUGCGCAGAUAUCAGGAGGAACACCAGUGGCGAAGGCGGUUCUCUGGGCCUUUCCUGACGCUGAGGAGCGAAAGCGUGGGGAGCGAACAGGCUUAGAUACCCUGGUAGUCACGCUGUAAACGGUGGGUACUAGGUGUGGGGUCCAUUCCACGGGUUCCGUGCCGUAGCUAACGCUUUAAGUACCCCGCCUGGGGAGUACGGCCGCAAGGCUAAAACUCAAAGGAAUUGACGGGGCCCCGCACAAGCGGCGGAGCAUGCGGAUUAAUUCGAUGCAACGCGUAGAACCUUACCUGGGUUUGACAUGGAUCGGGAGUGCUCAGAGAUGGGUGUGCCUCUUUUGGGGUCGGUUCACAGGUGGUGCAUGGCUGUCGUCAGCUCGUGUCGUGAGAUGUUGGGUUAAGUCCCGCAACGAGCGCAACCCUUGUUCACUGUUGCCAGCACGUUAUGGUGGGGACUCAGUGGAGACCGCCGGGGUCAACUCGGAGGAAGGUGGGGAUGACGUCAAGUCAUCAUGCCCCUUAUGUCCAGGGCUUCACGCAUGCUACAAUGGCUGGUACAGAGAGUGGCGAGCCUGUGAGGGUGAGCGAAUCUCGGAAAGCCGGUCUCAGUUCGGAUUGGGGUCUGCAACUCGACCUCAUGAAGUCGGAGUCGCUAGUAAUCGCAGAUCAGCAACGCUGCGGUGAAUACGUUCCCGGGGCUUGCACACACCGCCCGU